GAUUGUAGAUAAGAUUUUGGUGUACUACAGCACAGAAAGUAAACAUAAUUUGUUAAUCAAAAUGAUUUUACAUCUAUUACAUUGAUGGAAAAUAUACAAUAAGAAGAAAAAUGAGACUACGUCAAUUAUAAUACCAAUAUAUUUUUGCGAUUCUUCAAA
Molecule: long non-coding RNA, 159 nt
Filed under: Polistes fuscatus (common paper wasp)
Lineage: Eukaryota; Metazoa; Arthropoda; Insecta; Hymenoptera; Vespidae
Description: uncharacterized LOC122518956
Source: RNAcentral